AGAUGAAUGUUUUUAUUCGGGUCGACCCGGUGUGUGAGCCUCAAACUGUAGAAAACAUUUACAUCUAAAAUCCAUAAAAAUAUUUUCUUUUAAACGUUUCCAGUAACUAACGGGUUAAACAUUCACACCUGUCCCAGAAAAAUAAAAGCAGGCCCCGCCCACUCAUGUCAAUCAACCUCAGAACCACUCAGUGCUGAGGAGGGGCGGGGCCACACUGGCUCUGAGGAACAGGUUCUAUCAUGUAUGUACACAGAAGGUUCUGCAGCUUCCUGUCUGACGCCACGCUGCUGCAAAGCAUCAUGGGAGCAGCUCAGCUCAUUAGUGCUGCAGGCCCCGCCCCCUGUAGUAUAGGCCCCUCCCCCAGCUACAGGAACAUGCUCACUUCCUGUCAGGAGGAGGACCAAGCAUCAGACAAGAAGCUCCAGAACAUCAGACCCACCUGGAGGCGGAGGCAAGCCUCACCUGCUCCCCACACACCUGGUGGGUCCCUCAGAGAGACUCCACCCCCCCACCAGGUGAGUCACAGUUAAAGACGUUAGUGUCGUCCAAAGACUUGGGUCAAAGUUCUGAAGACUUCUGAAGUCCUGCAGAAAGGUUCUGAAACACGACGAAGCAAAACUGGAAAAGUGACUCAGCAUUUUUUACCUCAGACUUCAGAUCCACCUGCUCCUCACAGGACCCGGGUCCACACAGGACCACCCACAGGACCCGGGUCCAUACAGGACCACCCACAGGACCCGGGUCCACACAGGACCACCCACAGGACCCGGAUCCACACAGGACCACCCACAGGACCAGGGUCCAUACAGGACCACCCACAGGACCCAGGUCCAUCCAGACCGAGGGGCUACCUUUGGACCAAAGCUCUGUUGAGACCACUUCCUACAUGGUCCUCACCUGGUCCUGGUCUCUCAGCCCACAUCUGAAGGAACCAGAGGCCUUCUGGACCAGAACCAGAACACAGAUGUUUACCCAGAAUGCACUGCAGCCAACAGCUGCUGUCUGAAAGGACCAGGAAGUCCUCUGUAGACCAGAGGGUCUAGACCUGAGCUUGGACCAAACUGGCUCCAACAGAAACCUGAUCCAGAACCCAGCAGCUGGUCUACAACUGAACGGGUCCAAAAGAGGUCAGAACCACCUCAGAACCAGAUCAGUUUUAUUUUGUCCCAAAACCCUAGAACUGAGGGGGCUGGACCGGUACUGGUCCAGAGGGUUCUGGAGGGGUUCAGGUUCUGACCCGUUCAGCCGUUAGCUUCAUGCAGAGCAACAAGCAGCAACAGGGACAGAAUAAAGAACUGGUUCUGAUAGGUCCUGGUUCUGAUGGGUCCAGGUUCUGAUGGGUCCUGGUUCUGAGGGGUCCUGGUUCAGAUGGGUCCAGGUUCUGAUCAGUCCAGGUUGUGAUCUGAGGAGACAUUCUUGUGGUUCUGCUGGUGACAGGAACCUAACAGACAUGGCUUGUUUGGGUUUUUGCGGGUCGUGUUCAGAACCAGAGUUUAAGGCUUCUGUAGGAGUCUCUGCUGCGUUCACUGACCCGCUGCCAGGAGCCCCCCGCUCCGAGGGGCUCCUGAGGCUCAGCAGCUUUGUGAAACAAACAAACACGUUUGAAGCAGCAGCCAAAACAACAACAACGACAACAACAACAGUCCGGUUACCGUGGCAACCACAGCCAGCAUCAACAGAAAGAACAGUCUUAGUUCAGGUGGGCGACCCACACUGGUUUACUGCAGCACAGAAGGUUCUGGACCGGCUCAGAUAAAUGCUGCCACAUGUUUCCAUCAGAGGUUUUGCUCAUCUUCAUCAUCUUCAUCAGGUGUAAAUUGUUUCUGUGGGUUCUGGUCCAGACCCGGUCCAAACAUGUGGAACAUCUGGGUCGGAUCAGCAGACAGGUUCUGGAAAUCAACACCGCUCUCCUCCCAUCUAACGGGUCAGAACCUUUAGAGGCAACCGAGAAUAAAAUAAAAUAAAAUAAAAUAAAAUUUAAAUAAAAUUAAAUCAAAUCAAAUAAAACAAAAUAUAAAAUAAACAAAAUAAAAUUGAAUAAAAUCAGCCCGCCUCCUACAUUCAGAUCUGAAACCUGUUUUUAUCUCAGCUGAACUUUUAGUCUCUGAUGUCACCAGGUGGGAGUGUCUUAGGGAGGGGCGUGGCUUGGGUAAGAUGUGAUUGGUCAGAUUGAGGUGAAGUAAUGGUAAAAACUUAAACAUGUACUUAUUAUUAUUGACAGAUAGUAACUUCCUGUCUCCAGUUAUGACUGAAAUUAAAAUUCAUAAAGUACCUGUUACCUGUUACACUCACAGACCACGCCCACAUAUCAAUCUGACCAAUCACAGCUUUCCCCAACCACUCCCACAAGAAAUACCUACUUAAAUAUUCACUCACUAAAACUAACCAGAUUGACUAAACAGAUUAAAUAUCUGAUAAAACUAACCAGAUUAAAAUAACCAGAUUAAAUAAUAUGAUACAAAUAACCAGAUUAAAGUAGCCAGAUUAAAGUAACUAGAGUAAAUAGAGAUUUAAACCAACCAGAUUAAAUACUCAGAUUAUACUAACCAGAUUAAAUCCUCAGAUUAAACUAACCAGAUUAAUGUAUCCAGAUUAAAUACUCAGAUUAAAUUAACCAGGUUAAACUAACCAGAUAAAAUAAUGAGAUUUAAACCAACCAGAUUAAUACCAUAUUAAUGUAUCCAGAUUAAAUGCUCAGAUCAAAUUAACCAGAUUAAAUUAGCCAGAUCAAACUAACCAGAUUAAAUGCUCAGAUUAAGAUAACCAGAUUAAAUGCUCAGAUUAAACUAACCAGAUUAAAUCCGAUUAAACUAACCAGAUUAAAUAAUCAGAUUAUAUUAGCCAGAUCAAACUAACCAGAUUAAAUGCUCAGAUUAAUCUAACCAGAUUAAAUGCUCAGAUUAAUCUAACCAGAUUAAAUGCUCAGAUUAAUCUAACCAGAUUAAAUGCUCAGAUUAAACUAACCAGAUUAAUUAACCAGAUUAAACUAAUCAGAUUAAUUAACCAGAUUAAACUAACUAGAUUAAAUAACCAGAUCAAACUAACCAGAUUAAAUAAUCAGAUUAAACUAAACUGAUUAACUAACCAAAUUAAAGUAACCAGAUUAAAUAUCAGAUCAAAUUAACCAGAUUAAAUAUGAUGCAACUAGCCAGAUUAAAAUAACCAGAUUAAAUAAUAUGAUACAAAUAACCAGAUUAAAGUAGCCAGAUUAUGCUAACCAGAUUAAAUACUCAGAUUAAACUAACCAGAUUAAAUACUCAGAUUAAACUAAUCAGAUUAAUGUAUCCAGAUUAAAUA
This is a long non-coding RNA of Austrofundulus limnaeus, 3297 nucleotides long. RefSeq lists it as uncharacterized. The transcript is spliced from 2 exons. The record is from RefSeq and is a predicted model, not a curated record. Lineage: Eukaryota; Metazoa; Chordata; Actinopteri; Cyprinodontiformes; Rivulidae.